This is a microRNA precursor of Citrus x clementina, 153 nucleotides long. It matches the Rfam family "MIR398 microRNA precursor family". Lineage: Eukaryota; Viridiplantae; Streptophyta; Magnoliopsida; Sapindales; Rutaceae. The record is from Rfam.
UGAAACCCCAGAGGAGUGAACCUGAGAACAGAGGGUGGCGUUGGCUUAAAUUUGAUUUGCAUUGCUGCUGCCUGCUCCUGCCAUACAUUAAAUCAAAAAGAUUGUAUGUGGCCAACGCACCUUGUGUUCUCAGGUCACCCCUUUGGGAAUUCA